UGCUUCCAUCCUUCAGCCCAGUGCUGCACACCUGCAAACCACUCACUAUUUGUGUAUUUAUUAAGCCUUAGAGACAGCACUUUUCAAAAGAAUAGAAUUGGGCUGGGUGCUGUGGCUUACGCCUGUAAUCCCACCACUUUAGGAGGCCGAGGUGGGCAGAUCACAAGGUCAGGAGAUCCUGACCAUCCUGGCCAACUUGGUGAAACCCUGUCUCUACUAAAAAUACAAAAAGUUAGCUGGGUGGGGUGGCGCUUGCCUGUAAUCCCAGCUACUUGGGAGGCUGAGGCAUGAGAAUCACUUGAACCAGGGAGUAGGAGGUUGAAGUGAGCCAAGAUCAUUGCACCACUGCACUCCAGCCUGGCAACAAAGUGAGACGUCUCAAAAAAAAAAGCAAAAGGAUAGAAUUAUUAGUGGGAAAGGAGGAAUUUCUAGUAGAGGGCCCAGUUUAUAAGCGGUCUUAGAUUUUAAAAAAAAUUGAUGGUGUCGUUCAGGAACAGGGAGUGCUAAGUAAGCACAGGGUACUCCAAGAGGAUUAAUGAGAUAUAAGGCCAAAAAGAUAGAUUAGAACCACAUGGUAGAGAGCCCUGAGUACCAGUGUAAGGCAUUGCACUGCUGCCUCUGUCCUGUCAUCUUAUGGCCCCGGGCCAUCCACUCAGGGUGGCAUGUAUGGCUUUGCUUCUCUUGAAAUCUACCACCUUCUUUGAAUACUACAAAGUUUAUUAAUCUAUUCUGUUAGCACAUGCUUCCUGAGUAUCUACAGCAUGUCAGCCACUGGUCUAGGUUCUAGAAGCCUAUAGAAAAUGUGGCAAACAAGGCUCUUGGCCUCAUAAAACUUACAUUUCCAUGGGAUAUAGCAAAAUAAACACAAAUAAAUCAACAACAGCAUAAACCAAUUGUGCCACAUGCUCAGAAGAAAUGAAGCACAACAUUGCGACUGUAACCAAGUUGCAGGAAGUACUUUAAAUGUGAUGGCUAAAGAAGACUUCUCUGAGGAGGUGACAUUUGAGCUGAGACCCACCCCCCCAAAAAAAAAAAAAAAAUUGAGCUGGAGCUGGCGCCACAGAGGGAUGGGAGAAGCUGGGCUCAGCCAAACAAAACUGCAAGUAGAAGUCUCUGGCGAUAAAAGAAUAAGAUACAAAAUUCAAAAAUGACCAGGGUAAACUCAGCCACGGAUAAAAAGAAAUGAGAAGGUCUCAUGAAGAAGUCUUUGUCAUUGGACAAAUUAAAAACAGGACAGAUCUGAACUAUGAUUAAAGAACAGAGGUCUCCACCGGGCGCAGCGGCUCAUGCCUGUAAUCCCAGCACUUUGGGAGGUGGAAGCAGGCAGAUCCUGAGGUCAGGAGAUGGAGACCAUCCUGGCUAACAUGGUGAAACCCCGUCUCCACCAAAGAUACAAAAAUUAGCCAGAUAGGGUGGCGAGCGCCUGUAGUCCCAGCUACGCGGGAGGCUGAGGCAGGAGAAUGGCGUGAACCCGGGAGGUGGAGGUUGCAGUGAGCCGAGAUUGUACCACCACACUCCAGUCUGGGUGACAGAGUGAGACUCUGUCUUAAAAAAUAAGGAACAGAGGUCUCUCAAUAUAUAGGUUAAGCUCAAUGGUUCUCAAACUUGAAUGAGCACAAGAAUCAUCCAGGAAGUCUGUUAGAAAUGCACAUUAUUGGGCCUCAUCCCAAGAAAUUAAGAGCAUUUUUAGACGAAUACCUUAGUUAGUUUUGAAGCGUCAUCCUCAGGACACAUUUGGAGAACCACUGAACUAAAGACUCAAGCAGGAAGGACAGCAGUGGGCACAGGAGGGGUGGGCUGGGACGUGGUGCCAGGGAGGAGAGUGAAUCAGAGGGAGGAAGUGAGGAGGCACCAUCAGCUAUCUGCUUCUACCUUGCCGUGACUGGCUCGUGUCUGACUUCUUUGUGCCCAGAUUGGCAAGCUGAGUCAUUAUGACAUUAGUGAAUGCUAAAGAACUCGGUUCUGGGAACCCUAGAAUACCUGAGGACAUCAGGAUGGAGAAUUGUUAAGAGAUGGAGGGAAAUUAUUGCUAAUGGGAGCCCAAUAAUAGUCAUCACACCCACAAUUCCCUGCAUCACAUCCUCUCUGAGAUUCAGGUUAGAAGACAACUCCUGCUCUCCUAGGAGGAUGAGAAGUUAAACAUAAUGCAUUUUCAACAGGCUUAAGGUCCCACUGGACCAGCAGGAUGUCAUUGUUGGUCUGGCGUGGGCUGCUGAGGAGUGCUUCAAAACAGGGUAAAGGCAGUGGCAAAACAAUUGGCUGUGUCAUUCCAAACCCAUCCAAGCAAAUUACACAGAAGGCAAGCAAGUGUCAUUAUGAUUUAUAUAAAUAUAUGUUGUAGAUUUCAUUAAGAUUAAGCCAGCUUUGCAGUUAUCACUUGCUGGGUUGUUUGCUUGGUCCUUAAUCUUUAUUUGCAACUGCCGAUUAGCCUCAUAAAGAACUCCUGUGGCCAGGAGCAAGCCUGAGCCUCACCUUGCUUUCUUUUCUUUAGGAUUUCAGUCAAGGAGAUGCCUACCUGGGGACAGAAUCUGGAAAAGACCUCAAAAUAGAUCUUCUCAAGGCACCCGGAGGCAAACGAGGCAUAGACACACUAGGAUAAAAGCUGUCUUCAAGUCAGAGCCCUCCCUAGGGCUCCAGGCAGAGCAAAGGACCAGAUCUCCCCCUCUGCACUCCCCACCUACAGAUGAGCACCCAGGCAGGGGACACUCAAAGCAGGUGAAUGAGACAGGGGGGGCAUGCAGAAGCCUUGAUCUCCGAGUGGUCUGUGGCCGUGAGGUGGAGAGAUACAACUGCUUUGUCGAGGACCCAAGGGAAAACCGAGCCGUGGCUGUCUGAGUCUUAUCAAAGGAAAAACGCUCAGGUCCCCCGCAUGGCAAAGCUGGAGGGCAAGCACACAUUUGAGGUCAUCUGUACCCAUCAGCCUCCCAAGGCACAGGACAGGAAAAAAAGCACACAUAGAUCAGGAGGGAGAGAAGGAAGACAUCCAUUACACUGGAGAAAAACUGUAUGAAUUUGCUCUUAUGGUAUGAUCUAAAAUAUUAAAUUUGAGAAAAAGUAGAAAUCAA
Long non-coding RNA from Homo sapiens (human), 3065 nucleotides. RefSeq lists it as uncharacterized. The transcript is spliced from 3 exons. Lineage: Eukaryota; Metazoa; Chordata; Mammalia; Primates; Hominidae. The record is from RefSeq and is a predicted model, not a curated record.